CAUAAACUAAUUUACUGUUUAUGGUGAGGACCUGGGGUUUGGAGUUACUAGAUGUUUGUGUACAUCCAGUUGUUUUGGUGCUUUCUUUAGUUUCUUUAGUUUAGUUUUAGUGAGGUGUGGAUCAUGGUGAGGUGUGGUCAUAGUUAGGUGUGGUAAUAGUCAGGUGUGGUUCAUGGUUUAUGUUUCCGGGUGGUUGGAUGGGCGGGUGUGAUCAUGGUCAGGUGUGGUUUGUUUCCAGGUCUCCAUCCGUGGGCCCCCGGAUGUCAACCUUUCCAGAAGUCCAGAAGUCCAUCUGUGUCCCCUCAGAUGAAUUCCCAGGUGUGGAUCAUGGAUCGUAGAUGUGAUCAUAGGUGGAGGUCAUAGUCAGGUCUGAUCAUAGGUGAGGUCAUAGUGAGGUGUGGUCAUAGUCACGUGUGAUUUAUGUUUACGGAUAUUUUGGCCGCUUUCCUAGUUCCGUGUGUCCAGAAGUCCACCUGUGUCCCCUCAAAUGAACUCCCUUCCUCACUUUCCCAGGUGGGCGGGUGGCUUGUUGUGUAGGUGGGUGGUUGGGUGGGUGGGUUUAUGGGGUGGGCGGGUGUGUCUGUGUGUGUGUGAUCAUGGUGUGGUGUGGUCAUAGUCAGGUGUGGUUUAUGUUUCCAGGUCUCCAGCCGUGGGCCCCCAGAUGUCAACCCUUCCACAUUUUCCACUCCCGGUUGUCUUGGUGCUUUCCCUAGUUCCGUGUGUCCAGAAGUCCACCUGUGU
Non-coding RNA from Cherax quadricarinatus, 741 nucleotides. The record is from RefSeq and is a predicted model, not a curated record. NCBI's taxonomy places the organism in Eukaryota, Metazoa, Arthropoda, Malacostraca, Decapoda, Parastacidae.